RNAcentral lists this unclassified non-coding RNA (278 nucleotides) under fungal sp. RNAcentral's name for it is "partial internal transcribed spacer region". The stretch from base 1 to 46 matches the Rfam family "Eukaryotic small subunit ribosomal RNA", at positions 1786 to 1831 of the family's 1831-position model. The record is from RNAcentral. Lineage: Eukaryota; Fungi.
AAGUCGUAACAAGGUCUCCGUAGGUGAACCUGCGGAGGGAUCAUUCACAUGAUAUACUUUAAACAAACUGUGAACUUUAAACAAAAUACUAUUCGUGUGUGUUUGUUGACUUGAUUGUCACUUUCAUACAUUGUCAUUCGAUUGAACAUAAGAUAGUUGGCUUGAAAUUGUAAUUUAUUACAUUUUCUUUCUCAGCUUUGAUUUGAUAUAACUAAACAUUUUAUCACUUCAACCAUAAAACAUAGAAACAACUCUAUGCCCUGGAUAUCUUGGUUCUC